AGAUUGAACGCUGGCGGCAGGCCUAACACAUGCAAGUCGAGCGGCAGCACGGGUACUUGUACCUGGUGGCGAGCGGCGGACGGGUGAGUAAUGCCUAGGAAUCUGCCUGGUAGUGGGGGAUAACGCUACGGAAACGGACGCUAAUACCGCAUACGUCCUACGGGAGAAAGCAGGGGACCUUCGGGCCUUGCGCUAUCAGAUGAGCCUAGGUCGGAUUAGCCAGUUGGUGAGGUAAUGGCUCACCAAGGCGACGAUCCGUAACUGGUCUGAGAGGAUGAUCAGUCACACUGGAACUGACGACACGGUCCAGACCUCCGUACGGGAGCAGGCAGGUGGGAAUACGUUGGACAAGUGGGACGAAAGUCCUGACUCCGAGCCAGCGUCGCGGUGUGUAGUAAGUACGGUCUUCGGAGUUUAACGGUAAAGUCGUUAACGUUUUAAGGUCGGG
This 448-nucleotide ribosomal RNA is filed under the name uncultured soil bacterium. Its description in RNAcentral is "bacterial SSU rRNA". It matches the Rfam family "Bacterial small subunit ribosomal RNA", at positions 26 to 444 of the family's 1533-position model. The record is from RNAcentral.